Molecule: non-coding RNA, 865 nt
Organism: Paramuricea clavata
Lineage: Eukaryota; Metazoa; Cnidaria; Anthozoa; Malacalcyonacea; Plexauridae
Source: the annotation of a GenBank genome assembly
GUCUUGUCUUUCUAACUCGAUAGAUUAUUGCUGUAAAAGUCAAACGUGUGAUGGAAAUAAAGGAAAUCCAGCAAAAUCCAACAAACAGAGACCACUAGCGGAUAAUUUUUGGAAAAAAUCUCCAUUCUUUAACCUCAGAGAAGGCGAAGGAGAUCUGUCACGCAAGUCACGCGAGGUUCAUACUGUAGGCCUACUAAGAAUAAACUGAGGUUAAUUGAGCUUGGCAUUGGAACCCGGCUUAAUUAAGUUACUAAAUAGUAUAAGCUGUAGAACGGCUGCAUAUUUAUAAGUUGAUUGUCAGUUUAAUAUAAUAUGUGAUAUCGAAAUAUUAAAAUUACAACAUAGGCCACAAGUUGUAGGUUUUUGUUUAAAAGGCAGUCUGAUUAUAUAAACCUAUUAACUAAUAGUAGCCAACACAACACUUACCGGCCCAUUUCAGGGGUAGAAUUAUCUGGUGUUUAUAGCCUAGAUAUCGUAAAAUACGAAAGCAGGGUGUAUACACGAUACAUCAAGGGCCAUAAAAUGAGACUGAUAGCUGAAACUACUGAUUUAUCUGCAUGUAUUCUUGUAUUCUCAUAUUUGUUUACUUCGCCUCAUACUGCGUGCCUUGAGUUAGCUGGUUUCUUUACUUCGAUAAAAGCUUAUCGUGUGGCUUACACAAGUUUUAUUUACAUUAAUAUGACUACAGAAUACUUAGUUAUAGUUUACAAAAGAAAUCAGUUACACAUGCGUUUAUUUAAGCUACGGUCGGGGAGCCGUCUUCUCGUUAAAGGUCGAUAUAAAGACAACAUGCCUUGGUAAUUUGAGUCGUGAGAGUAGCAGACGUACUAUAUGAUCCUCACGCGAAAACCAUCAUGAAAAGCGC